UCCAGACUCCUACGGGAGGCAGCAGUGGGGGAUAUUGCACAAUGGGGGAAACCCUGAUGCAGCGACGCCGCGUGAGUGAAGAAGUAUUUCGGUAUGUAAAGCUCUAUCAGCAGGGAAGAAAAAAGACGGUACCUGACUAAGAAGCCCCGGCUAACUACGUGCCAGCAGCCGCGGUAAUACGUAGGGGGCAAGCGUUAUCCGGAUUUACUGGGUGUAAAGGGAGCGUAGACGGCAAUACAAGUCGGAAGUGAAAUACCCGGGCUCAACCUGGGAACUGCUUUGGAAACUGUAUGGCUGGAGUGCUGGAGAGGUAAGCGGAAUUCCUAGUGUAGCGGUGAAAUGCGUAGAUAUUAGGAGGAACACCAGUGGCGAAGGCGGCUUACUGGACUGUAACUGACGUUGAGGCUCGAAAGCGUGGGGAGCAAACAGGAUUAGAUACCCGAGUAU
Molecule: ribosomal RNA, 447 nt
Filed under: uncultured bacterium
Lineage: Bacteria
Description: bacterial SSU rRNA
Rfam family: Bacterial small subunit ribosomal RNA
Source: RNAcentral